UUCAUACUCCCUCCGUCCGGAAAUACUUGUCGUAGAAAUGGAUAUAAAUAGAUGUAUCUAAAACUAAAAUACAUCUAGAUACAUCCAUUCCUCGGACAAGUAUUUCUGGACGGAGGGAGUACAUG
Molecule: non-coding RNA, 125 nt
Organism: Triticum urartu
Lineage: Eukaryota; Viridiplantae; Streptophyta; Magnoliopsida; Poales; Poaceae
Source: Rfam